RNAcentral lists this ribosomal RNA (292 nucleotides) under uncultured bacterium. RNAcentral describes it as "partial 16S ribosomal RNA". It matches the Rfam family "Bacterial small subunit ribosomal RNA", at positions 505 to 796 of the family's 1533-position model. The record is from RNAcentral.
GUGUCAGCAGCCGCGGUAAUACAGAGGUCCCAAGCGUUGUUCGGAUUCACUGGGCGUAAAGGGUGCGUAGGCGGUCGGGUAAGUCUGAUGUGAAAUCUCUGGGCUCAACCCAGAAAUGGCAUUGGAUACUAUUCGGCUUGAGGUCUGGAGGGGGGACUGGAAUUCUCGGUGUAGCAGUGAAAUGCGUAGAUAUCGAGAGGAACACCAGUGGCGAAGGCGAGUCCCUGGACAGAUCCUGACGCUGAGGCACGAAAGCUAGGGGAGCAAACAGGAUUAGAAACCCUCGUAGUCC